Molecule: long non-coding RNA, 2616 nt
Filed under: Mustela putorius furo (domestic ferret)
Lineage: Eukaryota; Metazoa; Chordata; Mammalia; Carnivora; Mustelidae
Description: lncRNA (ENSMPUG00000025642.1)
Source: RNAcentral
GAGCCUGCUUCCUCCUCUCCCUCUGCCUGCCUCUCUGCCUACUGUGAUCUCUCUCUGUCAAAUAAAUAAAUAAAAAUCUUUAAAAAAAAAAAAAAAAAAAGAGACACAGACGUCUCCUGUCUCCCACCUUGAAGAACUUACAAAUUAAGGUAGGCAGACAUAAGCAAAUGUAGCAACCUCCCCACUCGAGGUCCCCUUGAACUUCCUGCGCCACCCCAGUCUGGGCCAGGGACAAUCUGUGGACCCAGCAGAUAAAUGACGGUAGCUGAAGCCACCGCCUUGUCUUCCUUUUCUUCCGAGAUCAGGGCUCCCACCCCGCGCUCUCUACUGUCCCUGGUGGCGGAAACCGUUUUACCCCCAGCCCCACAGUGGCGCAGAGGAUGCGACCGCCUCCCAGCGGCUGUUGCUUGGACUACACUUCCCAUGAACGGUUUCUCAACAUCGCGAGAGCCCUCGCGAGAUGUCUGAAAAGACCUUUACGCAGGCGCGGCUCCGCCUUCUUCUCUGAGGCAGGCCGCGUGGCCGGGAGACAUGGCGGCUUCUCUCUGGAAAGAACGGGACGAGCAGUCUCGGGCCUUUGGCUGGGGCUUUUCUUGGGCGUCUGCGGAGACCGUGAGCGCCAGACCUGCAGGCUGAAGCUUAAAAGUACCAGAUGGAUCCCUGACGUGGGUACAGUCCCAGCCUUGGUUUCCAAGGCUGGAAAGGAUCCUGCGGAGGCAGAUGGUGGCCGAGUCCACUUCCCUGGGCCCGAAGCGGAGACUUGUAUGUUCUCUCCUCCGAGACGCCAGAUGGAGCCGCGCUGCGUCUGUGCGAACUGUUCAUGCCCAUAAACCGAGGCCCCAGAGGGAGAACAGUUGGAAGGAGUCUUUGGAUUUUCUCUUCAAAAAGGAACCAAAUAAUUUGACAGUUUACCCCAAAAAAUACCUGGCGGUUAGUCAAAUCAGGGCAUAACUAGGAACAUGGAGCUGAUCUGGGUGUGAGCGGCGCACUGGCAGGAAGGCGGUGAUUGUGAACAGAGAAUGACGUGUAUGUGCUGUGUUUUGGGGAGUGUGAGGGGAAGCAGGUGUUUGGCCUAGAAAGAGGUUUCUCAGAGCAGAUUUCUUGUGAAGUUAACGUAUCUUGGGCUUAGGAUUUGAAGUAUAAAUAAAAGUUUUUUAAAAAUGUGAUUCAUUUUGAGAACCUCAUAAAGGGAUUUUAUUCUGUGACUCAGCAAACGCAUUCUUAAAUGAAGGUUUCACCGAGUACUGUUUUUUUUUAAGAGGGGCAGAGGGAGGGAAAGUCACAAGCGGACUCCACGCUCAUUGGGGGGCUCUAGGCUCAGCGGGAGUCUAGUUUCUCUCCCUAAGAGUGGGACACUUAACCGACUGAGCCACCAGGGUCCCCCAACUUCCACAGGAUGCAAUCAGAUGUUUUACAGGUUUCCCACUAAAUUGAUUUUCUGCUUCUCUUAAUGGGUUACCACCCACCAGUGUAACUUUAGCAUUUCUCAAAUCUAAUGGAUUGACGAAGAUUCUGAUCGCUACAGAUGUGAGCGGAACAGGGACAAGUGAAAUGUCCUGGAUACAAGGAGUUCAGUCCUGACUUGGGCGACGCUGGCUAUCCUGACUUAGGGCAACUGGAUUUCUUCACUAGCAACUGAUAGUAAGGGUCACUGUCAGAUGGCGGAACGGACUGACCAUACCGUGUUUCCCACAUUUGACAUUUUCUUCUGGACCAGUGAUUCUAUCCAGAGAAACAUACUUAGGACACUGCUGUCCUUGAGACUAAGGGACAUUUCCAUGUUGCCAAGCUUAAGAGAGGCCGUGGCCUCCCGCUUGCUACUCCCCUCUCGUCUAAGCUGCUUCAAGUAGGAAGCAGUUUCAAGUAGCUGCCUCGGUCGUGAAAGUCCAGACCUUGGAUCACAUACUUGAAUUUCUAAUGUAGAAUUUUGAUUUUGCUGACAGUUACCCUCUUGGUAAGACGCUGAUAGGAUCUACCUUCCAAAACCACAGAGCCAGAGGACUGGUCCCAGGCCUUGGUGAAUUAGCCAGUGGUGAUCAGUGCCACCUUGGGAAGGUUCUUGAUGUAGCCAGUGUAGCGGGUCAGACUGGAGCUACUAGUCACAGGGCCAGUAAAUCCCAGGGCUUAAGGGCUAUGUGCAGGUGACUUGGUUAGUUGAGACUUAACCCUUCCAAAUGAAGCCCCUGUGCUCUAAAACUGCCUGGAUUUACUGAAGCCGCGAUGUGAGGUGGGGAGUUCUUCACCUGAUCUUGCACUUCAGUGGCCAGUGGUAAUGGAUACAGUGGGACUUCCACAGGUGGGCAGCCCUCUUGUGCACUCGACCCCUGUCAAAUUACCAGGACUGGCCCAUGGUUCUUGAAUUUUCUGAGUGAUCUGCCUGCUAAACACUGGUGUGCCACCCUGUCCCUGUCCCCAACACACAGAAAAGACGCAAGGGUCAUCCUGUCAUUUAUGCAAGUACCUAGUUCAAGUUACAUUCUGCCUUUUGCGCUCCCACUUCAUCAUGGGGCAGAAGGAAAGUGGUCAUGUCCUCGGGUGGUGUAGGCAUGUCUUAGAGUCUGACGUCGUGGAGUUGCUGGGAGGCUGGACAUGGUCGUGGGAGGGUCUGGCUGGCGA